This is a transfer RNA of Camelus ferus (Wild Bactrian camel), 72 nucleotides long. It matches the Rfam family "tRNA". From Rfam's summary of the family: Transfer RNA (tRNA) molecules are approximately 80 nucleotides in length. Their secondary structure includes four short double-helical elements and three loops (D, anti-codon, and T loops). Lineage: Eukaryota; Metazoa; Chordata; Mammalia; Artiodactyla; Camelidae. The record is from Rfam.
GAGGGCGCAGCUCAGUGGCAGAGCGCGUGCUCAGCAUGCAUGAGGUCCUGGGUUCAAUCCCCAGUCCCUCCA